UAUCAUUCAUGGGUGGCAUGUUUCUAAAGUGAAAGGCGGCUUCUGCUGUCUGAUACGGAAGGGUCCAAGUCGCAAGUCGUAGGUGGAGAAGUAUCGGCUCGACAAGGCAGCGAUGCGUAUAAGACCUGAGAGGGUGAUCGAUGCACUAUGUGAUUGAAGAGCGUCAUCAGCUCCUACGGGAGGUCAGCAGUAGGGAAUCUUCCGCAAUGCAGGCAAAAUUGGGACGGAGCUAACCAAUGGGUUCGAUGUCGCGAUGAAGUCUUUCGGGUCGUAAAACUCGAUUGUUGCAGGUGAGUAGAACAAUAAAUAAGUUUUAUAAGGGGGCACCUUGGCGGUACCUAACCAAAAAAGCCCGGCUUACUUUGUUCCAGCCACCGCGGUUAAUCGUAGGGGGCAAGCGUUAUCUGGGGACCAUUAUUGGGGGUUAAGCGCGCGCUGGUGGGUUAUGUACCCCAAUAUCUCAACACAAGAUGUGGAAAUCCCCGGCUCUACCUGUGUGAGGGAUCCUUAAGGAGAUAACUGGGCAGCUUGAGUGCAGAAGAGGGAAGGGGGAUUUCACGGGGAGCGGUGGAACUGCUUGUAGAUAAUAAUGGAGCCGGACCCUCAGUGGGGAAGGGCGCCUUCUGGUCUCUUACUUUGAUUUCCGUGAGGCGCGAAAGCGUGGGGAGCCAACCGGAUUAGAUUCCCUGGUAGUUCCCCGCGUUAACGAUGAGUUGUUAACCCUACCCAACUU
RNAcentral lists this ribosomal RNA (733 nucleotides) under Lacticaseibacillus casei. RNAcentral's name for it is "Lactobacillus casei partial 16S ribosomal RNA". It matches the Rfam family "Bacterial small subunit ribosomal RNA", at positions 172 to 833 of the family's 1533-position model. The record is from RNAcentral. Lineage: Bacteria; Bacillati; Bacillota; Bacilli; Lactobacillales; Lactobacillaceae.